Molecule: ribosomal RNA, 324 nt
Filed under: uncultured Pseudomonas sp.
Lineage: Bacteria; Pseudomonadati; Pseudomonadota; Gammaproteobacteria; Pseudomonadales; Pseudomonadaceae
Description: bacterial SSU rRNA
Rfam family: Bacterial small subunit ribosomal RNA
Source: RNAcentral
AGCUCGUGUCGUGAGAUGUUGGGUUAAGUCCGUACGAGCGCAACCCUUGUCCUUAGUUACCAGCACGUUAUGGUGGGCACUCUAAGGAGACUGCCGGUGACAAACCGGAGGAAGGUGGGGAUGACGUCAAGUCAUCAUGGCCCUUACGGCCUGGGCUACACACGUGCUACAAUGGUCGGUACAAAGGGUUGCCAAGCCGCGAGGUGGAGCUAAUCCCAUAAAACCGAUCGUAGUCCGGAUCGCAGUCUGCAACUCGACUGCGUGAAGUCGGAAUCGCUAGUAAUCGUGAAUCAGAAUGUCACGGUGAAUACGUUCCCGGGCCUU